UGGGGAAUCUUGGACAAUGGGCGCAAGCCUGAUCCAGCCAUGCCGCGUGAGUGAUGAAGGCCUUAGGGUUGUAAAACUCUUUCGCCGAGGACGAUAAUGACGGUACUCGGAGAAGAAGCUCCGGCUAACUUCGUGCCAGCAGCCGCGGUAAUACGAAGGGGGCUAGCGUUGUUCGGAUUUACUGGGCGUAAAGCGCGUGUAGGCGGGUCGUUAAGUUGGGGGUGAAAUCCCGAGGCUCAACCUCGGAACUGCCUUCAAAACUGGCGGCCUGGAGCAAAGAAGAGGCGAGUGGAAUUCCGAGUGUAGAGGUGAAAUUCGUAGAUAUUCGGAGGAACACCAGUGGCGAAGGCGACUCGCUGGUCUUUUGCUGACGCUGAGACGCGAAAGCGUGGGGAGCAAACAGGAUUAGAUACCCGCGUAGUCC
Molecule: ribosomal RNA, 424 nt
Filed under: uncultured bacterium
Lineage: Bacteria
Description: bacterial SSU rRNA
Rfam family: Bacterial small subunit ribosomal RNA
Source: RNAcentral